Molecule: long non-coding RNA, 651 nt
Organism: Hordeum vulgare subsp. vulgare (domesticated barley)
Lineage: Eukaryota; Viridiplantae; Streptophyta; Magnoliopsida; Poales; Poaceae
Exons: 4
Source: RefSeq, a predicted model, not a curated record
AUGCAAUAGUUCAGGUCAAUUGUUCUUGUUUUUUUUCCUGUAGCGAGUAGUAAAUAAUUUGAACCUGCUCUUAUUUUCCCUGCAGUCGUUGAGGUUGGCUGUUCUUACUGUUUUCUGUAGUGGUUGUUCUUUCUUUUUUCUGUAGUGGUUAAUAUUCUGUUUGUACAAUAGUAGAUCGUCAAAGCCAGUAGUAAUUAAUUGAGACUGCUCUUGUCUUCCCUGCAGUAGUUCGGUCUGACUGUUCUUAAUGCUUUCUAUAGUGGUGCAUUUGCUUAUGUACUUAGUAAGAAAUAGUAACUGUUUUCUCUGUUUGUGGGUUGCAGGUUCCGAGCAUUCAGGUUGCGUGAUCUGAGGUGUGAUCAUUGAGAAUUUGUUUCGAGUCCUCCUGGAUGGCUGGUGUUGUAAAAACUUAGUGGUAGUUUGCAACACACAGCAGCAGUGCCUCACGGUGCAGCAGCUUGAAGAGGCGGCCAAUGGCGCACCCGUGAGGCAACAAUAAACAUGUCUGAUGCCAACACCCAAGGUGGGAGGACCAUUCAACUGACCAAGUACUGUAUGAUGGUAAUAUAAAAUCUGAGAUUAAGUCAUUCAUUCGGCCUGCUGGUUGGGGAGGUUACUCGACAUAUGCCUCGUUGGUCAGCAAGGUUAGAU